CGGAUCCUGGGUUAAGGGUGCGUAGGUGGGUCUGUAAGUCAGUUGGUGAAAUCUCCGGUGCUUAACACGGAAACUGCCAUUGAUACUAUGGAUCUUGAAUGUUCUGGAGGUUAGCGGAAUAUGUCAUGUAGCGGUGAAAUGCUUAGAUAUGACAUAGAACACCAAUUGCGAAGGCAGCUAACUACAGGGUUAUUGACACUGAGGCACGAAAGCGUGGGGAUCAAACAGGAUUAGAUACCCUGGUAGUCCACGCCCUAAACGAUGGAUACUCGACAUUGGUGAUACACAAUAAGUGUCUGAGCGAAAGCAUUAAGUAUCCCACCUGGGAAGUACGAUCGCAAGAUUGAAACUCAAAGGAAUUGGCGGGGGUCCGCAACAAGCGGUGGAGCAUGUGGUUUAAUUCGAUGAUACGCGAGGAACCUUACCUGGGCUAGAAUGCUGGGUGGACUGUGGGGUGAAAAGGCUCAACUUUGGUAAGCCAAAUAACAACCGGCCAAGUUAAAGGUGCUGGCAUUGGGCUUGUACGUCCAGCUCCGUGCCCAGUGG
RNAcentral lists this ribosomal RNA (546 nucleotides) under uncultured bacterium. RNAcentral's name for it is "bacterial SSU rRNA". It matches the Rfam family "Bacterial small subunit ribosomal RNA", at positions 546 to 1214 of the family's 1533-position model. The record is from RNAcentral.